Molecule: ribosomal RNA, 253 nt
Filed under: uncultured bacterium
Lineage: Bacteria
Description: partial 16S ribosomal RNA
Rfam family: Bacterial small subunit ribosomal RNA
Source: RNAcentral
UACGAAGGGGGCUAGCGUUGCUCGGAAUUACUGGGCGUAAAGCGCACGUAGGCGGAUUGUUAAGUCGGGGGUGAAAUCCUGGAGCUCAACUCCAGAACUGCCUUCGAUACUGGCGAUCUCGAGUUCGGGAGAGGUGAGUGGAACUGCGAGUGUAGAGGUGAAAUUCGUAGAUAUUCGCAAGAACACCAGUGGCGAAGGCGGCUCACUGGCCCGAUACUGACGCUGAGGUGCGAAAGCGUGGGUAGCAAACAGG